GUCCAGACUCCUACGGGAGGCAGCAGUGGGGAAUAUUGCGCAAUGGGGGAAACCCUGAUGCAGCAACGCCGCGUGAGUGAAGAAGUAUUUCGGUAUGUAAAGCUCUAUCAGCAGGGAAGAAAAUGACGGUACCUGAGUAAGAAGCCCCGGCUAACUACGUGCCAGCAGCCGCGGUAAUACGUAUGGAGCAAGCGUUAUCCGGAAUUACUGGGUGUAAAGGGAGCGUAGACGGAUGUGCAAGUCUGAUGUGAAAGGCGGGGGCUCAACCCCUGGACUGCAUUGGAAACUGUAAAUCUUGAGUGCCGGAGAGGUAAGCGGAAUUCCUAGUGUAGCGGUGAAAUGCGUAGAUAUUAGGAGGAACACCAGUGGCGAAGGCGGCUUACUGGACGGUAACUGACGUUGAGGCUCGAAAGCGUGGGGAGCAAACAGGAUUAGAUACCCUUGUAC
RNAcentral lists this ribosomal RNA (447 nucleotides) under uncultured bacterium. Its description in RNAcentral is "bacterial SSU rRNA". It matches the Rfam family "Bacterial small subunit ribosomal RNA", at positions 329 to 793 of the family's 1533-position model. The record is from RNAcentral.